Long non-coding RNA from Crotalus tigris (Tiger rattlesnake), 711 nucleotides. RefSeq lists it as uncharacterized. The transcript has 2 exons. The record is from RefSeq and is a predicted model, not a curated record. Lineage: Eukaryota; Metazoa; Chordata; Lepidosauria; Squamata; Viperidae.
GCUAGUAAAAGACACGAAGCAUGUGUGGCUGGACACAAGUCAAAGUCCAGAUUCCUGCUCUGUGGUGAUAAAGGUGUUUCUGAAGAGAUAAGAAGUCGGCUCCAUAACAGACUUCCUCUAUCUCUACUUCUCCAGUCUUCAGUUUCUGACACCGGCAUUGCAACACAGCUUUCAACUGCACAUAUGUGUCAAGUGAUAAAAAAAAAAAAAUUGGAGGAAUAUCAAUAACAGUCUUACUGGGAGUGACGGUUGAAAGAAGAAACUAUUACCCCUUAGUAGCCUAGCAUGGGUGACAAAUUUGAUCCAUUUGAGCUUGGGAGGGAGGAAAGGGGAGUUUGGGAACUGAUGUCACCACUUGAGAGCAACCCUAAACCGAAACCCUGCAUGUGUCCUAGGCUGCCUUGCGCUUUGUCGUAGCAACCUGGAGGAGUUGAACUUUGCCAGACUUCGAUGCUGCUUUACUGCCGAGUCCUCUGAAUCAUGCUGCUGAUAUUAGAUCCCUUCCCCAUGAAUCUCAGGCUGGACUUUGACCAAGCUCUUUGGAGUGGAUUCUGUUUGAAGCACUUUUGGUCCUGCGUUGGUUAUCCCUGUGUCCUUGCUGCAGGAAACCCAAGUUGGACCUUGAGCUGAGCACAAGGCUCUCGUGCACACACAUUGGGCACAGCCAGACAAUUCUAUGAAUCUAAUAAAAUAUCUUCUCUUUCACCUUUA